RNAcentral lists this non-coding RNA (135 nucleotides) under pig gut metagenome. Its description in RNAcentral is "FMN riboswitch (RFN element)". It matches the Rfam family "FMN riboswitch aptamer (RFN element)". Rfam says of the family: The RFN element is a highly conserved domain that is found frequently in the 5'-untranslated regions of prokaryotic mRNAs that encode for flavin mononucleotide (FMN) biosynthesis and transport proteins. This element is a metabolite-dependent riboswitch that directly binds FMN in the absence of proteins. The record is from RNAcentral.
AUCUUCAGGGUCGGGUGAAAGUCCCAACCGGCGGUAUAGUCCGCGACCCAUCGGCAGUAUGUCCGAAAUCAUAUUGCAGAUGGCUGAGCCGUUGAAACUACGGCACCGACGGUAAAGUCCGGAUGGAAGAAGAUG